GACUACUCCAGUGGCCUAGUGGUUAGAGCGUCCGCCUCAGAUGUGGAAGGUUAUGGGUUCGAUCCCCAGCCGAGUCA
This is a non-coding RNA of Potamilus streckersoni, 77 nucleotides long. NCBI's taxonomy places the organism in Eukaryota, Metazoa, Mollusca, Bivalvia, Unionida, Unionidae. The record is from the annotation of a GenBank genome assembly.